RNAcentral lists this ribosomal RNA (996 nucleotides) under Prorocentrum minimum. RNAcentral's name for it is "partial Bacterial small subunit ribosomal RNA". It matches the Rfam family "Bacterial small subunit ribosomal RNA", at positions 1 to 1009 of the family's 1533-position model. Lineage: Eukaryota; Dinophyceae; Prorocentrales; Prorocentraceae. The record is from RNAcentral.
AAUUGAGAGUUUGAUCCUGGCUCAGGACGAACGCUGGCGGCGUGCUUAACACAUGCAAGUCGAACGGAAAGGCCCUGCUUUUGUGGGGUGCUCGAGUGGCGAACGGGUGAGUAACACGUGAGUAACCUGCCCUUGACUUUGGGAUAACUUCAGGAAACUGGGGCUAAUACCGGAUAGGAGCUCCUGCUGCAUGGUGGGGGUUGGAAAGUUUCGGCGGUUGGGGAUGGACUCGCGGCUUAUCAGCUUGUUGGUGGGGUAGUGGCUUACCAAGGCUUUGACGGGUAGCCGGCCUGAGAGGGUGACCGGCCACAUUGGGACUGAGAUACGGCCCAGACUCCUACGGGAGGCAGCAGUGGGGAAUAUUGCACAAUGGGCGGAAGCCUGAUGCAGCAACGCCGCGUGCGGGAUGACGGCCUUCGGGUUGUAAACCGCUUUCGCCUGUGACGAAGCGUGAGUGACGGUAAUGGGUAAAGAAGCACCGGCUAACUACGUGCCAGCAGCCGCGGUGAUACGUAGGGUGCGAGCGUUGUCCGGAAUUACUGGGCGUAAAGAGCUCGUAGGUGGUUUGUUGCGUCGUCUGUGAAAUUCCGGGGCUUAACUUCGGGGUGGCAGGCGAUACGGGCAUAACUAGAGUGCUGUAGGGGAGACUGGAAUUCCUGGUGUAGCGGUGGAAUGCGCAGAUAUCAGGAGGAACACCGAUGGCGAAGGCAGGUCUCUGGGCAGUAACUGACGCUGAGGAGCGAAAGCAUGGGGAGCGAACAGGAUUAGAUACCCUGGUAGUCCAUGCCGUAAACGAUGUCUACUAGCCGUUGGGGCCUUUGAGGCUUUAGUGGCGCAGCUAACGCGAUAAGUAGACCGCCUGGGGAGUACGGUCGCAAGAUUAAAACUCAAAGGAAUUGACGGGGACCCGCACAAGCGGUGGAUGAUGUGGAUUAAUUCGAUGCAACGCGAAGAACCUUACCUACUCUUGACAUCCAGAGAAUUUAGCAGAGAUGC